GUGCCAGCCGCCGCGGUAAUACAGAGGGUGCGAGCGUUGUCCGGAAUCACUGGGCGUAAAGGGCGCGUAGGUGGCGACCCAAGUCGAUGGUGAAAGCUCGCCGCUCAACGGCGAGUCGGCCACCGAUACUGGGUUGCUCGAGCACUGUAGAGGCUAAUGGAAUUCCGGGUGUAGCGGUGGAAUGCGUAGAGAUCCGGAAGAACACCGGUGGCGAAGGCGGUUAGCUGGGCAGUUGCUGACACUGAGGCGCGACAGCGUGGGGAGCAAACAGGAUUAGAAACCCCCGUAGUCC
This 292-nucleotide ribosomal RNA is filed under the name uncultured bacterium. RNAcentral's name for it is "partial 16S ribosomal RNA". It matches the Rfam family "Bacterial small subunit ribosomal RNA", at positions 505 to 796 of the family's 1533-position model. The record is from RNAcentral.